Molecule: ribosomal RNA, 254 nt
Filed under: uncultured bacterium
Lineage: Bacteria
Description: partial 16S ribosomal RNA
Rfam family: Bacterial small subunit ribosomal RNA
Source: RNAcentral
UACGUAGGGCGCGAGCGUUGUCCGGAAUCAUUGGGCGUAAAGAGCUCGUAGGCGGCCUGUCGCGUCUGCUGUGAAAUCCCGGGGCUUAACCCCGGGCGUGCAGUGGAUACGGGCUGGCUGGAGGCAGGCAGGGGAGAACGGAAUUCCCGGUGUAGCGGUGAAAUGCGUAGAUAUGCGGAGGAACACCGAUGGCGAAGGCAGCUCGCUGGGACGGUACUGACGCUGAGACGCGAAAGCGUGGGGAGCAAACAGGG